RNAcentral lists this ribosomal RNA (1825 nucleotides) under Syllinae sp. 1 MTA-2011. RNAcentral describes it as "SSU rRNA". It matches the Rfam family "Eukaryotic small subunit ribosomal RNA". The record is from RNAcentral. Lineage: Eukaryota; Metazoa; Annelida; Polychaeta; Phyllodocida; Syllidae.
GCUCAUUAAAUCAGUUGUGGUUUAUUGGAUGAUGGCCCCCACCGUUGAAUAACUGUGGAAAAUCCAGAGCUAAUGCAUGCACUCAUGCCUCGAUCCCUCCCGGGAGAGGGGCGCAGUUAUUAGACCAAGACCAAUCGUGGCGGGGGCCCCUUCGGGGGUGCCGUCRUGUUAACUCUGUGGUGACUCUGGAUAACCUCGGGCUGAUCGCAUGGCCUCGUGCCGGCGACGUAUCUUUCAAAUGUCUGCCCUAUCAAAUGUCGAUGGGAGGUGCCUUGCCUCCCAUGUUCUCGACGGGUGACGGGGAAUCAGGGUUCGAUUCCGGAGAGGGAGCAUGAGAGUCGGCUACCACGUCCAAGGAAGGCAGCAGGCGCGCAAAUUACCCACUCCUGACACGGGGAGGUAGUGACGAAAACUAACGGUGCGGGACUCCGAUGAGGCUCCGCAACCGGAAUGAGUACACUUUAAAUCCUUGUAUCGAGGAUCCAUUGGAGGGCAAGUCUGGUGCCAGCAGCCGCGGUAAUUCCAGCUCCAAUAGCGUAUAUUAAAGUUGUUGCAGUUAAAAAGCUCGUAGUUGGAUCUCGGUGCUGCCUGUAGUUGGUCCCGCGGGUCCCAAGGCCUUGCGGCCUCCGUGGUGUACCGCUGCAGGCGCCCUACUGGCGGGGGGAGGGUCUCACGCGGACCGCUCCUGCCCCCACUCGGCCCGCCGUGGCUGGUGGGUAGGCAGUUGCUGGUGCCCCGAACGGGCGCGCCAGUGGCACCCGUCCGAUUUACUUUGAAGAAAUUAGAGUGUUCAAGGCAGGCUGCUAUGGCCUGAAUAAUGGUGCAUGGAAUAAUAGAAGAGGACAACCGGUCCGCAUUCUGUUGGUUCUCCGGGACUGGAGGUAAUGAUUAAGAGGGGCAGGCGGGGGCACUCGUACUGUGGCGUGAGAGGUGAAAUUCUUGGACCGCUGCAAGACGGACUACUGCGAAAGCAUUUGCCAAGGAUGUUUUCAUUAAUCAAGAACGAAAGUCAGAGGUUCGAAGACGAUCAGAUACCGUCCUAGUUCUGACCUUAAACGAUGCCGACUGGCGAUCCGCCGGAGUUUCGUUUCAAUGACCCGGCGGGCAGCCCCAGGGAAACCGAUUAAGUCUUUGGGUUCCGGGGGAAGUAUGGUUGCAAAGCUGAAACUUAAAGGAAUUGACGGAAGGGCACCACCAGGAGUGGAGCCUGCGGCUUAAUUUGACUCAACCCGGGGAAACUCACCCGGCCCGGACACCGUGAAGGAUGGACAAAUGGGAAGCUUUUUUUUGAUCGGGGGGGGGGGGGGGCAUGGCCGUUUUUAGUUGGUGGAGCGAUCUGUCUGGUUAAUUCCGAUAACGAACGAGACCCCGGCCUGCUAAAUAGUCCGCCUCCCCGCCAAUGGGAGGGGCGAACCCGUAGACUUCUUAGAGGGAAACUCGGCGUCGAACAGCCGACUGAACGGGGGCGAUAACAGGUCUGUGAUGCCCUUAGAUGUCCGGGGCCGCACGCGCGCUACAUUGAAAGAGUCAGAGGGUCGAGUCCUGGCCUGACGGGGCCGGGCAAUCCGAAAACUUUAUUCGUGCUAGGACUGGGGGCUUGCAAUUGACCCCACCAACGAGGAAUUCCCAGUAAGCGCGAGUCAUCAGCUCGUGUUGAUCACGUCCCUGCCCUUUGUACACACCGCCCGUCGCUACUACCGAUUGGAUGGUUUAGUGAGGCCCUCGGACGGGCCCCGGGCCGUCUCCUCUGGGGUCGGCUGUCUUGGUGCUGCCCGAAAGGGGGUCGAACUUGAUCAUUUAGAGGAAGUAAAAGUCGUAACAAGGU